GAGUGAUGAAGGUUUUCGGAUCGUAAAACUCUGUUGUUAGGGAAGAACAAGUACCGGAGUAACUGCCGGUACCUUGACGGUACCUAACCAGAAAGCCACGGCUAACUACGUGCCAGCAGCCGCGGUAAUACGUAGGUGGCAAGCGUUGUCCGGAAUUAUUGGGCGUAAAGCGCGCGCAGGCGGUUCCUUAAGUCUGAUGUGAAAGCCCCCGGCUCAACCGGGGAGGGUCAUUGGAAACUGGGGAACUUGAGUGCAGAAGAGAAGAGUGGAAUUCCACGUGUAGCGGUGAAAUGCGUAGAGAUGUGGAGGAACACCAGUGGCGAAGGCGACUCUUUGGUCUGUAACUGACGCUGAGGCGCGAAAGCGUGGGGAGCAAACAGGAUUAGAUACCCUGGUAGUCCACGCCGUAAACGAUGAGUGCUAAGUGUUAGAGGGUUUCCGCCCUUUAGUGCUGCAGCAACGCAUUAAGCACUCCGCCUGGGGAGUACGGCCGCAAGGCUGAACUCAAAGGAAUUGACGG
This 520-nucleotide ribosomal RNA is filed under the name uncultured bacterium. RNAcentral describes it as "bacterial SSU rRNA". It matches the Rfam family "Bacterial small subunit ribosomal RNA", at positions 401 to 916 of the family's 1533-position model. The record is from RNAcentral.